CUCUCUUGUCUGCUGCCCGGCGAGACGUGACUUUGUUCCUCCUUUGCCUUCUGCGAUGAUGGUGAGGCCUCCCCAGCCACGUGGAACUGUCUACUUCUGAAAGAACAGUUUCACUGAUGAAACGGAUUCAUUUCUGGCUUUCAGUCUUAAAGCUGCAUAUACAAGAAAUGCUUGAAGCCCUCGGCAUGGCCCUGUCUGUGACGCCUGCCCCGCUGGGGCCAUGGAGGGACACAGCUACUCACCCCUUCGGACUUCUUGUCAGGGAAGACGCAUGUCGACCCCCCGGCUGUGAAGUUGCAGUAAACCUUGAAGGAAUCCCUGGAGCAUCCUUGGUUAGGAUCGACCCAGUAUUCACCUGGAUUUCAGAGACGGGGAGGGAGGCAGGCAGAGUCAGAAGGAUUGCUCCCUGGAUGGUUCCGGAAGCCGCUGUGACAUUUCAGUCCAGCAGUUAAAAUGCACGCCCCAGGAAUGCCGCCAACACGGGCCUUUCUGGGGUUUACUUUAUUGCAUUUUGCUUCUCCUGCUGGGCCCAUAAAGAGAUGUGGACAAACUCAUUCACCAAGAACACAGCUGGUGCAUGAAGCAACUGGGUCAGGAACACGAGGUUCAAGCAGGUCACCCCGCCAGAAAAUGCCUAAGACCAGAUGAGAACCUGGAGAGUCUGACCUCAAAGCCUUGGCCUCUGCACCCGGCCUCACCCUGAGAUGCCUCCAUAAAGUUCAAGAGGGGAGGCUCUUGCGCACCCCGGCCCCACAGAUGGGGAGGCUGCGGCUGCCCGUCCUGUCCCUUCCGCUGUGCCUGGCUGAACUGUCCUUGCCACACUCCAUGUGUCCUGCAGGUCCAUGCCCGCUUUGGGGGGCCACCCCUGCCCCCCCAGGCCCUCACCAUCUGGGAAGUCGGGGUGGCAGAGCUGCAGGUCCUUGCAGGUGCGGGCGGGGUUCUGCUGCGUGCCCAGGGGCCGUUUCAUCUGCUCAAUCUCCAGCUUCAGAGAGUUGAGAGAGCCGAAGAUCUCUUCCAUGCCGUCCGCGUAGUCCACGUAGUUCUCGCCAUUCCCGUCGUCCAGCAGCUGGCUGGCGUCGAUGUUCCGCCGCGUCCUGGAUGCCUGGAUUGGCAGGGGCUGGAUGACCUCUCCCGGGGGGCCCUGGGGGACAGAACAGGAGCAGCGGUGGGUGAUGGAGGAUGGGAAGGGUCCCAGGAUAUGAGCAGAGCAGGGACAGCUGGGGCCACAUCUGCAGGGGUUCCCUGGGGCCUGGCAACCUGGGCUACAUGGACAUCUGUCCGCCUUAGAACUGUUUCCAUCCCUUCCUCCAGUCUCUGGAACAUUCCACACCCAUCCCCACUGCCAGGUGCUUGCCAGCAUGGAGCACCUCUCCUUUCUCUCUAGAGCUGAAACUUAACAGUUUGCAGCCUUGGGCUUGCAUCUGCCAUCCUGCCCUCAGCCACACAAAAGGCCAAGCCUUGAGGAAAGGGACCAGGUCUCCCCAGUCUGGCCUCUGCAGCCCUAGCUGGGGCUGAACACAGUGGGGCCACAUGAAUGCCUCCUGAUGCAAAGAGCCAUUCACUUCCAGAAGGCCACAGCUAAGAUGACGAUGGGAGUUGGAGAGACUCCACAACCAAAGGGGGGUGUCCAAUAGUGCACUCGCCAUGCCCUGGUUCAAACUGGGCUUCACCUUUCACCUCCAGGGCCUUGUCUAGUGCUCCCCCAUCCCAACACACACACACACAUGCACAUAUAUCCCAGACAUGCAUGUACACAUAUACAUAUGCACACACACACGGCCAUGCAUGCACGUAUACAAUAUACACACACUACACAUGCACACACAUAUGUGCCCCACAUAUAUGCAUGCAUACCCAUACACACAUCAUGCACACACACAUGCACAUACAAACCAUGUACACACACAUUACACAUGCAUGCACAUAUACAGGAUGCACGUACACAUACAGACAUGCACACACACGUGCCCAGUCACAUACACGCAUAUACUACACGUUCACACAUUCAUAUACCAUGCAUGCACACACAGCACACACGUGUAUCCUCUCUCUCCUGGCCAGCUGUUCUUCUCAGGGCCAAUUGGCCUGUAAGCUUCCUGUGAUAGACCUGUGUGGCUCAUUUCCCCGGCUGCGUGCGAGGGACAAGGCCCGGGCAUGCCACAUGGGCUUCAUGAGUCUCAGGAGGGGUCACACACACACAGUUGCUUUCUCAAUUCCCUCGGAGCUAGCCAGAGCCCCCGUCCCGCUUUCUGGGCUUCAAGGGCUACUUACCGGGGGGCCUGGGGGUCCUGGGUGGCCUGCCUCACCCUUCGGGCCAGUUGGACCCUGGGGAGAAAGAAAAGAAUCAACCCUUGGUCACAGAGGUAUGAGGGGACUUUGAAUCCACCUUCAGCUCUAGAAUGGUCCCUGGAGACCUAUGUGGGGGAGGUGGCCCUAUCAGCCACAGCAGAGAAGAGAAUGGCAGAGACCCCUGUACCCUCCUGGAUCCUUGAGAUGAGAACAGAGAGGGAUGGAGCCCUUCCUAGGGCAGGCGGCGAGCAGCCCACCUGCCUCAGUCCGCCAUGGGUCAGUGUAGAAAGAUGGGAGGAUCGUGAGCAGCAGGGCCUGAGCUAGGACGGUUGUCUGGGUAGUUUGUUCCCGUGCCAGGGGACCCGUCGCCCUCCCCUACCUUCCAGGCAUUGGCCUGGCUGGGCAGCAUGUUACUUACCGAGGAGCCCUUAGCACCUUUUGGACCAGGCGGACCCUGCAGAGAGAGGAGGGCAGAACGUCAGCAAGCCGGGUCUCAGCUCCAGCCCCACCGUGCUCCAUGUCCUGCCCAGCCUGGUCUCGCCCCUCGCCCCUCUCCCACCCGCAUCCCCCUCAAGAGUCUAUGCUUGUAUUUGCCCGGCUAGAGUGGGAGGAGGGUCGGGGCCUGGCUGGUGCUCACCCCUCGUGGAGACACAGGGUGGUCCUACCUGCCCCCGGCCAGCCUACCACCCACCCUGGCUAGGAAACCCCAGCUCAGACAGCCGCGGGGGGGGCGCAGCGGAAAAGAGCAUGUCCUGGCUCAGAAGGGGCUGAUGGAAUGCACCCCCCAGCCCUGAUAGCACACAGCAGGGGCCAGCCCUCAGCGUGCCAGGGGCCCCCGGGGGCCAUGUGUACCUGCAGCCCAGCGGCUGUGGGGAUGCCCUGGGAAUGCUGGGUCUCCCAGCAAUGUGAGACCCAGGCAGCGGUGCCAGAGGAGGGCAGCUAACUGCUCUUGUCUGGGCCAGGCUGGCCGGGCUCCUGGGAAUUGGGAGGGCUGGAGAGCCAACUACUACCUUCCGCACCCUCCCCAGAUGCCUACAGACAAGUGGCCUCGUUCCCUGAAAUGGCCACCGUUUCCUGUCCCUGUCUUCCCCACCAAAAACCAUGGCCGGGCAACGCCACUUCCUUUCUUCUGUCUCCUGGAACCCCAAUGUUGAGUUAAUGGGCAAAUCCACCCUGGAGGCCCCAAUUCCAGCUUCUCGUGUGACUUUUCCACAAUUCUCUAGCUCCACACUGAGGCCCCAAGGCUUAUCCCCACCCUCCCUGCCCUCCCAGGAAUGACCAAGCCCCUCCCAGAUACACACCGGCAGGCCAGGGGGCCCAGGAGGCCCAAUCGGGCCAGAAGGACCAGUGAUACCCUGAAAAGGACCAGAAAAUGCAGGUUAUCACCUUCAGACGAGGAGGAGCUGCGGGGCUGCAACCCUGCUACCCAGCCACACCCCUCGGCUCCCCUGUCCCUUCCCCACGGUAUGCCCUUUGGCCCCUCAGCAGCCUCCUGUGGCUGCUUUCUGAUCCUGGGCUGUGCAUGUCAGGGGAGCCAUCGACCUGAGCAUCCACCCCAAGGCUGCCAGCCCUCGGCACUGCUCCCCCGGCUGGGCUGCCAGGAACUCACUCUCAUCCCCCAGGCCACCGAGGACUUCAGGCUGAGCACCUCUUUUCACGUUCAUUUGGAAAUACAGAAACCACUGCCCUGACAUUGUGGCCCUGGCUUGGGCCCCUCUUGCUGUUUCCUGCUCAUGGUGUUAGUCUCCCCUCUAGAACUAAGCCCGGAGGGGUUGGGCAGGGAGUCCCAUCCAUGCUGACUGUCCUGUCCUGCCUGUAAAUGUGCUUUCUGCAUCCUUGGAGCGUGGAACCUCCGCUCAGACCCCUUCUCCCCACUGACUCCCUCCCAGACUGAGCUGCUGGCACAGAACAGCUUUGACCAGCUUUGCCACGGGCAGCUGGAGCCACCUGCAGCCUCUCUCCCUACAGCCCUGGAUUCCACUCAGAGCUCUCUCCGGGCAGAAGCUGGGGGCGAGGGUAGCGGAGGGCUGAUGGCCGUAUUUCACUGGGGAGGGAGCGCUUCCCUCCCUUCACCUUGUCCCUGCAGGAACUUGGGCUGUGGCUCAUUGUAAGGACCCCACAACUACCCAAGCCUGCACACCAACCCGACACCUUCAUCAGCAAUGCCGCCAAGACCAUGGUUUGGGGUGAGGGCAGGUGAGCAAACAGGGUGGACACAGGGGUGCUUUCCCCGCUGGCCGUGGGGACCCUGGAUGCCUCUCUAAUUCUCGUGGUUGCCGGGCCACCACACCCUGGGCGGCACUCCUCCGACGACCCUGCUGUGGCCUGGGGAUACCGGCAGAGGAAAACAGUCAAUGGCAUGGAGGACACUGGCCAGUGAGGUAGGGUUUGCAAUGAGCUCCACCCUUCAGCCAUGUCCUGCAACCUUCCCCGGGCCCAUAGUGAGGGUGCCACCUUACUCCCAGCCUCCAGGGGCUCUGCCUGCUCCUGCCCUGUCCCCCGCAUCCUAUGAGGCAUGGGCGUGGGUGGGCACAGCAUACUGUGCGUGUGUGUGUCCGUCACACCUUGCUCGGGACGGAAAGAUUCCCACACAGGAAUAAGGACCCGUGGCCCUCAUGGGGGAAGGACAGAGGCACUACAGGUCACCUCAUCCCCUCUCCUGCCUCCAUGGCACACGUCACCCUCCCCAGGCCACUUCCAAGUCACUCAGAGUUGUGGGACAGAGUGAAGCUCUCUGCAUGGCGUUUCCUUGGCUAUGGUUUGCAGAGGCUGCAAACUCCAAUGAGCUACAGUUUGGGGGCAGCUGGGGACAAGGUGGAAGCAGGAGCCAGAACAGCCACUCUGCCCGCAGCUCUGGCAAACACGGCUGGUUGUCACCAGUGACCUCCUGGGCAAGCGGUGGGUGACAGGCUCUCCCACAGGGCUGGGAACCAGGCAGAAUGACCUGACUUCCGAGUCCCUCCAGCUCUGGGGGACACCACGGUCAUGAGGAGGAAGCCCCGCCUGCCAGUCAGGGCAUGGAGCUGGGAGACGGCUCUGCCCAGCUCACUGUGCACCUGGGCAAGCCCAGCCCGUCAGUGUUCCCAUCUGCCAAGCAGGAUGACCGGACUCAACCGACGUGUGGACGUCCUUCCGGGCUCUGAUGGGCCUCCUGUCCCCUGGGUGCCUGCCCCAGGGAUCUAAAAUGCCUCUCGACAGCCCACAUGCAAGAAGUGCCAUCUCACGCACCUGUUCUCCCUUAGGACCGGAGGAGCCCUGGGGGCCAGGGAGACCACGGUCGCCCUUCUCACCCUGUUCACCCGGAGGACCGAUGAGCCCGAUCAGGCCUGGAUGACCCUGUGGGAAAAUGAAGACAGGAAGGGGCAUUUGAGGGAGCCACGCCUCAUGCUCGGCCACGGUGGGCCAGUUAGCACGCAGCACAGCCAUGGCACAGGAAGCUUUACAUCAUGGUCAGCCUCCCCUGGAAGGGGAACAGGCUCAACAGAGGGGCCAGGUGACGAAACGGCAGGUCCGAGGUGGCCCUUCGCUGGCCACAGUCACGUCUAAAAACAGACAGGGAGCCACAGACACUGAGACAGACCAAAGUGAUAAAGGGGUUUUCCUGAGUGGUAAUGUUUAUCUCUGUCUUUCUCUUCGUAUACGCUCUCCAAUUUCCUAUGGCAAAUCCGAACGCCUGCUCCUAUACGGAACUAAAACAAAGUUUGUGGACUGACACGGAAAGAAAGAUGCAGAGUAUUAUAGAUAUUACAAUCAUGGGUUGUUUUUCUAAAAAAAGAAGAAUCCAUGACACUCGCUGUCUAUGUUUGUCUUCUAGGAACCCAGGGCAAGCCUCGCAAGGCAGCCCCAGCUCUCAUUUGCCUUGGGGCUGGGGGCAGUGGUGGCGGACGUCAGAGUGGAAAUGAGAGGGCCCUCACUGCCUUCUGCUUCAUAUACAACCAUCUCACUCCUGAGUACCUUUUAUGUUUGUAAAUAAAUCAAUGCAAGUGGAAAACAAUUCCCAGCAGUUAGAAAAAUAAAAGGGCUUUGCUCCCACUGCAGAAAUGUCCUCACACCUCCUGCGGAAAGGAUCUGGGGCCGCUCAGCCCAGGGAGAGCAGCAACCUGGGAUCCUGGACACCCAUCAGCCGGGGCCUCUGUGCCUAGCUGGAAGGUUCUCCGUCAAUACCGCAGGGGCCUCCGGGAUCUCCCGAGCUGCUCAGGACCCCCCAGAGGCAGGGGCCAAGCCUCAAACACAGCGUGUCUAUUUUCCUUUGUCACCCCUCAGGUUCCCCACCAC
RNAcentral lists this long non-coding RNA (6564 nucleotides) under Homo sapiens (human). RNAcentral's name for it is "non-protein coding lnc-FCN1-1:6". Lineage: Eukaryota; Metazoa; Chordata; Mammalia; Primates; Hominidae. The record is from RNAcentral.